UUGUAAAAUGCUUGCCACAUGUGAGGUAUGAUCUGAGAAAAGGCAUUUCUUGCAGUUGUUGUGGUGGGACUCACACUUUCCCAGAUGAGCUGGGGCUGGUGGAUCUCCUGGCCUGAUAAGCUUGCAUUCCCCUAGGGCUGGUGGCUUGGGGUGCCCAGGGUGGCCAGUUCUGAGGCCACGUACUGUUCAUCUGCUUGAUCCCCAUAAGCUGUGAGUAGAGGCUUCACUUUGAAAACCAGCUAAAAGUUGGUCUGUAGUAAGUGUGGAUGUGCUAUGAUCCUGCUCCAGUGCUUUGUGCUGCACUCAUGCCCUUGCGGUUGGGAGGCAGCUCAGCCCCAUCCCUUAGUGAGUGGCCCUCUCCUUCAGUGCAUGCAUUGGAGACACCCCAAACAGCCCUGGGGCUGCCAUUCAUAGCUCCCUUCCUCAUUAUGCUGCCUCACCACUUAAAUUGAGACUGAAUUCACUUCCCCUUGCUUCGGCUGCUCUUGAUCCUUGUCUCCAGCAGCAGUGUCCAGUAAUCCUGUCCCAUGGAAAGCCCUUGUUGUUUUGGCUAUGGGGCUGCAAAUCCCUGCAGGUCUUUGCUUUCCGAGGUCUUGCAUGAAUAUGUUGCAUUGCAUAGCUGUCAUGGGUACCUCCUGCUCAUGCCUAACCUGGCUGUUAAAGGGUGUCUCUGGAUGGUUUUUUUUAAUGACUGUGACUGUCUGCUUUAUGACUUUCCAGGACAAGGAGGUGCUCCUCAUUCCCCUCAUAUUUACUGUAUACAUGGUGCCCCUGAAAUGCCCUGCCUUCCAAAAAAGAAUCAGAUAAAUAAAAAUGUAGGGCUGAUUCUUGUCUUGUAUCAAGGUGCUGGAGAUUAAUUGGGAGUGAAAAGUCUUCAGGCAGCUAGGACAGAAAGACAGAAGGUGUGAUGCUGCAGUAAAACCUGCCCUGUGUUCCACCAUCUCCUCCUCUUCCCAGUCAUGACUGUAUCUCCCUUCUACCCAAAUCCUCUGGCCUACUGAUGGGCUCCUGUGCUGAAUUUUGGGUCUUACUGCCCUGGGGUACAUGGUGUGACUAGCAGCUCUCUCCAAUAACAGAAAUAACCCUACAACUCAAUCAAAGCACUAAAAAAUUAAACCAAAUGCCGCACGUUGUCAACAUGAUAGAACAUACUUAGGCUGCUCUAUCCCAUCAUCUAGAUGCAGCAACUGAACUCGUUUUGUUUUGUUUUGUUUUAUUCCAGCAUUGUAAUGUAGGACCUUGUUGUAAACACUAUCUGCUGGUGAUUAGAAGUCAUCCUGCAGCUCUCCUUUCACGAGAACAUAAAUACAAGCAUGGAUGCUGCAGAUGUCCUUUCAGGAUUGGACAGGCUGGAUUUAAGCUGGCUAGGGGCAAUGCGCAUCUUUGGACCAGGAGUAACAGGAAUUCUGAAGAAAAGGAAGUUUCAAGAUGAGCUCUAUGUAAAAGAUCAUACAGGAUAAGCAAAGAAUGGAAGGAAAGAAACCGGUGAAGCUCACUGUUGCAGAAGCUGUCAGCUGAAUCAGCUGUGCUGCGCUGCAGCACACAUCCACAGUAGCCAUGCGGAUGCUCCUCUUUUCAGAAAGCAAUCCCUACAGCUGUUUCUUCAGUAAAUUUGUUUUUUGGAUGUGGACAGCGGCACUUCACCACGCUGCUGUGCACGCGGGAGGGACAUGAUCUGCAAAGCUUCUUCCCUGCCGUGCAAUAACACCGAGCGCCUCAUGGAAACGAGCCCAUUUCCCAUUAACAGCAGGACCUGAACAAACCCAGCAAGGCAGCGACAGCCCAUUCAUUCCAGAGCCCUUCCCCACUCUGGAUUGCUACAGGCUAGAGCACAAACAAGAGAGUCACAACCUAUUGGUAGUUCCACGCAGUUCGAGCUAAUGCACUGCUCUUCCUCUGGAGAAACACAACUUCAUAUUUGCAUGCAAUUCAUGAAAUUAAAAUGAACAGAGAGAAUAUCCACAAUGCCUGGAGCUGACAUUACGAUGGCCGAAAGCACUGAGUACCACUGAUUCCCAUCCUGGUUGUACACACUGUAAUUUGCUGUAACGUUGGAUGAGGCUGACCCUGACUUCAGCACUGUGCUCUACAGUUGAAGAGGAAUUUGCACAGCGGAGGCCAGUUUGUAUUUACACACAUUAGAAUGUUUCAUGGGGGGAAGAACAAGAGAAGAAGUGUUUCCGCCUGGCAGAAGCAUCGCCAGGUACGUAUUGGUCAUUCAUGCAACAGUUCCUCUGGCAGAGCAAAGCUAAUUCUUUAACCUGCAGGAGUUGGAGAAAUCUUAGUGGUCGCAGACAAUACAUGUAAAAAAGCCACACAACUACGUUGGAAAUCCAUCUAAUGGAUGCCUUGGUUAUACUGAUAAGCAUGGCAUGAUACACGAUUUAGGCUGUGUGCUUUCUGGAUAGAGACCUAAGCGUACGGCACCUUGCACAAUGUUAUUAUCAACUGAAGUUUAGGGAGCUCUGUUGCAUUUCUGUAUGGCAGUAAUGAUGAUAUUAACAACGCUUGGAGAAGACAUUAAUAAUAAUAAUAAUGGUUAAAUAGGUCCUGCUUCUCCUUCUGCAUGUUCUCAGUCAGCAAAGUUCUUCAGUUGUUUCAUUUCCUUACUAUAGCAGUAAUUCAUAGCCCAGGAGACUGCUUAAUAAUACCAAUUAUGGUACAAAAGAAAGUACAAUGAAAAUGGACCCAAAUUAAAGCUCGCUAAGUUCAGCUCAGCAUCUUUUUGCUCUCCCAAGGUAUGUUUGCUAUAGCAAGCUUAACAGAGCAGAUUCAUUUUAUUUCUGCCUAUCUUCAUGUUUACUAAACCUGAAUUAAUGCUCUCCUUCCGCAGCCCAAACACGAAAGAGUUCUGCAAAUAGCUGAAAGAAAUGAUAAGGACUCCAGGUGACAUAGAUCACACACUGUACACAGUAUUACUUUCCCCAGAGUGAGCCUGUGUAGCAGUAUUUCGUGGCAUUCAUCAUUAAAGUUCAGUCUUUGGAGGGCUGCCAUCGUGGUCGUGUGCAGCCAGCUCUCCAGUGAUGUAGUGGAGCUUAUAACCAAAGGCCAUCCCUCCAGGGGGCACUGCAAAGCAAUCUGAAUGUCAGGCCUUGGGAAAGGCUGCGGUGUUUUUUUUUUCCUUUUCCUCCUUAGCUGUUUUUAUUUCAAACAGUUUUUAUUUCACAGGAGGGCCAAUAGCUUUAAGCACGAGAGGUUUCUAGCCACAAAACUGUGAAGUCUCCAGAAACAAGAAACCAGUGAAAUGUAGGGAAAAAAAAAAAAAAAAAAGUAGUUGCUUUCUUGCCAAAACAAAAUUCCUGCUGAUACACUGAACUGGAUCAAAGUAUUUUUGCAGAAAGACAGAACUCGUGCUAACCUUGCCAUGAAGGUGCUGGGCGCUGCUGGGUGGUGGCCUCUCUGGUGUCCUCAGCUAAGCAGAGCCAAGGCAGCACCACCUUGCUGGUCCUUCCUUCACCUCCCAGCCAGGCACAGAUGCCCAGCUUCUUAUCCACCCACAUGGAGACACGGGGUGUAAGCAGCGGGGCUGCCCAGUGAGCAACUGGGAAGCCCCCAGUGCUCCAGUGAGUGCUUCAUCUCCAGGACAGCCUUUCACAUUGGUCACUGCCAGCUCAUAUGGAGCCACGCUAAUAGACAUGGCACAGGAAGACACGGAGGAAGUAGGAGGCUACAAGGUGAUAUGUGAUUGGGAGGAGCAGAGAUUUCAAUUAGCAGGAUGUGAAACCCCCUUCAAAGCCAAUCACUUACAGUGCUGGUUUCCUCCAAAGUACUCGAAUCACCACCUGGCACAGCGCAGCGAGAGGAUGAACACAGUAAUUGAGAAGUGUGCCCAGCAACGUGUACUUGUUACAGGUGCUCUUGAAGGGUUAGAGCUUGCUUCAUUUCCACAGCCCACAGCAAGCCUGACUGCUUCAAGCUCUUCUCACAGGAUGGGGAUCAUGGAGCAGCCUCAAGUGGCACAUUUUGUUCUCAGCAUGAGUAUGCCUCCUUUGGGUCUCAGGGCCUCUGCCCAAAGGCUUUCUGCCUCGCAGUCAAUUAAGAGAAGGUACAAAAUACCAGAGAAAUGGCACAUCCUAGCAAUUAUGAUAAACAAAGUAUAUAGCCAACUACUUUAAAAGCAGACUUUGAAAUGCCACUGGCUUGCUUCGUUCUGAGCACAUUCCCAGGGAGAAUGUCAGGUCACAUAACUCAUCUGUAAUCUUUACAUAGAGGAUCUCAACUGAGCAGCAGCCAUCAUAAAAAUAACCAACAUUUCUUUUUGUGGAAAACAAACAUAAAAGAAAAAUGCAACAUCUCUCUUACACACACACCAAACAAAAGGGCAGUUAGCACUUCAAAGAUUACUGGCUGUAAAUAGCAGUGCCAAUGGACUGGGGAGCUGUGCUCCUCUUUAGCGACAGCCCUACUUACUGCCACGGAGGCAGCGAUGUUUCAGGCCUUUCCUGUGCUGCAUCGUGCAUUCAUUUAGAGUGUGCUCUUUGCAUUUUAUUUCCCUCGGUGCCUUAAAAAUACCAAGAUUUGCAGUAGUGUAAGAACAACCUUUCAAUCUAGCCUCAUAUACAGCAUUUCAAUCUAGCCGAUGGGGAGUGUUGGAAGAAAAUUGCUGUAUAGUAGCCAAGAACCCCCUCUCACAUUUCUCUAUCAUCCACAGCCAGAUUCUUGCAUUUACAACUAGCCAUUUUAAUUACAUCUAAAUAUUUAUCUCCAAGGUGGCUAUAUUAGUUGGUCUUUAAUUGUAGCGGUGCAAACACACGAUGGCUGGGUGCUCUCAUUUGCCUGUGUGCAUGGAACAAAAGAUGCUGUACUCAAUUACACAGCAAACGUCCACAGGUACCUCUGAGACAUCCUACAUGCCACACUAAGCCUGUGCUUCACGUGCUUAAACAGCUCUCUCUAUUGCUUUAUAGGAAGGGAGGGAAGAAGGGAAAGAGUUUUUGUUUUCUUUCUAAACCUCAUUUACAGUUGUACAGCUAAAGCUUGAAGAUUAAUAAUAAAAGUGCAUAUGUGACAAUGCAGAAAUAAAUGCCGUUCCGCGUUAAAUACAAAGCAAGAAGCAAAUUUAUUUUUUCUGUUAAUUAACCAGGCUUUCAUCUCAACUGCUCAGAUCUGUAAAUAAAGCUACUUUCAAACCAGCCAAGGAAUUAGGCAAUAAAGCAAAACAAACUCAACCAAAAUACUCCAACCCAAGAGCCUCCUAACAUGGGUUAGCUAAUUAUGUUUGCCAUUUCCUAUUCAAGGAGGACUUCAACAGAACUUCCUAAUUGAAACGGGUUAAAAGCAACAGUACUCUGUUGGCAGCCUCAGGGUGAGCACCACCAAAUGAUCCCAAGCACUGCCAAGGAGCAAAGGGCAUUCCCAGAUAUUCUGAAAGGGGAGAUAAGUGGAAGGGAGGAUAGACAGACAGGCAGAAAUGGGAGAAGAAAGAACGAACGACUGAUCCCUACCAUUAAUAUUACAUCCUCCUGCAGCUAUGCCUCCCCUCUGAGGAUUUGCUUUCCAAGCUCUUUAUUGAAAUUGUUCAGGUCCUUAACUGAUCUCCUGGGGGGUGAGUCAGGGGGAGUGGGGUGGGUGGUUGAAAAGCCUUAAGCUAAUUAAGCAUGGCUGAGACAUGCUUGAUGAGAUGGGAAAAACACGAGGCUUUUGAAGGGGUGAAAAACCUCCGACCAUCUGGUAGUGGCAUUGCAGGGAGAAGAAAGAGGAAGGACAAAGGGGCAGCUCUCUGGUCCAGGAGGUACAGGACUCCUUUAAUUACCGGGUCAUUGAGACCAUUACAGUUCCAAAUGCCAGUGAAAGCCUGCAAAAUAAGCUUGGGAGGCUCAGCAAAAACAACAGCUCUUAGCACGAAAAGCAUCUGCAAGAAAGUGAAUCGGAGAAGCUUUCCCCAAGAUGCGCCUGCUAAUUAGAAAUGAUAGGUAAUGGAUGGGAGUGGAGGCCCCCAGAUCAGAACAAGACUGUUUCCAGUAACCUCCCUGCCUCUCCUCUCCGAUCUGCUGUUCUCCAAGGCCCUGCAGAUGGUGCUCUGUUUAAAUUAAUACACCCUGCCAGCCAGAAGGAAGCUUCUGUUGUACUUGGCAGUCCAGGUGAACAGCCUGCGUUUAGGCUUCAGAAUGAAUGCCCCAGGUGUUUCAUCAAUAUGGCAAGCAGCUUAUGUGCUCCAGCCUCUUCAGGCCUGGAUAAAGCUCAUCUGUGUUUUCCCAUCUCUGAGACUGGCUAGAGAAAAUCGCAGCGUUCAUCAGAGGGCAAACUACACAUACCAGAGGAAUAUCUGAGCCAUCUUUGUGCUAAACGGCUUUGUCAGCCGUGAGCAGGGAAGGUGCUGGUGUGAUCCAGACGAGGAGCCCUCCCCUGCCUUCUCUGCUCACGUGGGCUGGAUGUGGCUGUGGCUGACUACAGGUGCAGGCUGGCAAAAAGCAAGCUGCUUGUGACACCAGAAGCCGUGGCCAAACCCGUGCCAAAAUGCUGCACUUUGCUAACUCCUGCUUCGGGAUGUGCCGACGUGCGGCUGAUUUCCUUUCCUCCCACACGCAGAUUCUCCUUCAAUUAUUUUGGCCGUGUGCUGUGAACCAGUCAGAUGCACAGGCUGCGCAAGAGCAAGCUAUAUCCAUCCUUGGAUGGCAGACCUCAUUAAAAGAAGGAAGCGGAACCGGGGAUCUAUCGCAUCAUGCUGCACUGCUGUCCGCAGGAUCAGAUACAAAACCCAGGCCCUGCCUACCUGCGGCCAUUUCGGUUUCGAUAAGGACAAACGGCAUUAACCCUAUUCUUGAGCCAAAUCUCAACAUACAUUUUUCUCCUCUAGGUUCUCCCUGAAGGUUCACUUGGAAAAAGCUGCUGUGUCUUAAGCUGUCACAUUUUUAUUCAGUACUGUUAAACAUUGGCUGCGUUUAAUGCCAGAGGGAAAAGUUUCAGAUGCUGUGAUCUCUGUGUAUAUCAGUUUCUAAGAUAACUUCAGUUUCUGCAGAUAGGUACCGGAUAUGUGCGUACUUAUCGUCUGCUUUUCAUGCUCACUUACUUCAAGAGCCAGCUGGAUCUGCAAACAGAACUCCAUCCAGAAAAUCUAUUUCCCUCCACAUCAUAUGUAAUGCUGGAAGCAGAAUAUCCUUUAAGGUCUUUUUCCUUUUUCGUGCCUUUUGGUUUUCAGCAAGCUUUGCCAGAGUUACAGGGCCAAGAGAACCAAAACCAAGCUCAAAAAAACCCUGAAUGUUUGGAUGCUUACUGGAGCAGCAGCUCCGUUCCAGUUGGCCCCGAUGCUGCCAAGCACUGCAGUACUGCCACACAGUCACCGAGCCACGCAUCCGGUGUGGGCUCAGGUCUGGAUGUGUAAAUGGAUUUGUGAUGAGAUGAGCAUUAACAAAACAAACAGUUGCAUAAAAAUGACCACAACAGCUGUACUUGCUACGCACUGUGCAGUUAUGGCUUUGGAAGAAGGGGAAAUGAGACAAACAAAGCCAGUGUUGAGGAUGCUGGUACUUCAGGAGCAGAGAUGGACUUCUUACAUUUGCUCAUACAACAGGAACUGUAAAAACCUGCUGUCCCAUGGAAAAGACCCCAAAACAAGAGAGCACACUUCGGAUCUCUUUCAGACAUCUAGCUUUAUAGAACAACACAACCAUCAGAGAUAAGCUACAGGCCUGGAAAUAAACCCGUGUCUGAGUCCCACUCCGUGCUGGAAGGAGCCAACCUCUGGCCCUCAUGUCCUAGAGAUCCCUGCAUGGACAGCUGCAGGAGAAAGCCCCUUUCACCCUUCUAAUGCACCAGGGCCCACUGCCAGCAAAAACACACGACUUACAGAGCCCUUUCAAAGCCCAGGAAGGAGCGAUGCAGCUGGUGUACACCCCAAAAAAGCUAGUCCUGCUCGGUUUUCUGUCCUCCAUGGACUGGCUGGAUCUUAGGUUGAUGGCGGUGCCACACUUGGGUACCUGCACCCCAGGGCGGGAGAGAUGCUAAAACAUGCCUUACUGACUGCCUCCCUGCUUAGUCUGCAAGCUUUCCUGCUAAUCUUCCCUGCUGCCUGGACAGCUGGAAGAAUCAGCCAAUUUAAUUUCCUUGAAUCGAGCUGCUGGAGUUAGGUACCGAUUUUUCAGCACAGUGACAUCUUACUUUGAAGCACCUGAGGUAUCUCCAUUUGUGCCCAUUUGAUGUUUUCGUGCUACAUUUCAGGCUGACAGACCACACAAACACACCCAGAGAGUGUGUUUUAACUGAUGAAAUACCUUGUAACCACGAUAGGAUUUAGCCACAAAGCGGGGCGCUCAAUUUUCUCCAGCCACCGAGACAGCGACUUUGCUAGGCUGACCCUCUCACUAUGUACCACUGUUAGAUGUAACCAGGGGGCACUGAAAAAAGAUUAUUGACUUUUUCCUCCUCGGAAUCCAGAACGCGGUUUAACUGAUUUUCAGUCCAGGUGAGAACAGCAUAGCCUGUAAGCGACUGCUUAUUUCCUCCACAGAGAAGAUGCUGAACGUGUAAAUAUGCUGUCUUUCAAGGGCUGUCAAGUAAAUGAAGGUAUUGAGUGUUUUUUGACAGGAUGCUGUAAAUGAAGAAAGGAGUUUUUGGCCUCUGUGGUACCGAUGAUUACAGGCAGAGCUAUGCCCUUCACACUAGCGAUUGAGAAAAAACAAACUAAUAAGGCUGCAAAACCACAAAAGGAAUAACGAGACAAAAGGAUUGCAUGCCCCAACGUCUCGGGCUAAGGAUCUCUCACCAGUGAAACAAUAACAAGGACUGUUUCGUGGCAGAAAUUUGUUAGCUGAGGAAUGCUAUGGAUUUUAGAACUUAGGAUAGAAAUCACAAGGAAAGCCUGGAUCCGGGAGAAAAAUAAAUGUUUGAGGAAAUAACAGUGUUAGUCAGUUAUGGAAUCAUUUAAGCACCCCAGUAAACGCAAGGGAAAGUAAAAGACCACGCCAUUCCAUGCUCUGUAUUUCUCCUGGACCUCUCAAGCAGAAAACAGAUGCUUUUGCUGUUGCCCAUACAACCCAAAAUGCAUCAUCCAGAACACCUCUGCUGUACCAGUUUAAUUGCAGAUUAAGACUUGACUGUACACAUAACACACGAGAAAGGACUUUCAGAGCUCAUGGAAGAGCCCACAGAGGACAAGCUGAACUUUCUGUUAAGUAACAGGAAGUCCCAAAGAGCUGCAGUACUGCACCAGUGUUAAGAUAUCACUACAGCACGAUUAAUACAAAGGUGCAGCCACAGAGAUGGAGGAGGUGAGAUGAAAUGCUAGCUUCCUCCCUGGCAGACAACUUACAGUGACCAGAAACAGUCGCAGCUUGGGGCUAACACUGUGGGCUGGGUACGCUAGCAGUGACCUCAGAACACUUGUCUGGCAGUAAAACGUGAUGAAAGCCAACUGAGCACAGGAAAGCUAUUCCAGAUGGCAAAAUCUGCUUGAGAACACUCACCUGCCAUCUGCACUAGGAAAAGGUGAGGGCACAGAAAACCCGCUGCCAGGAAGUUAUGGCUCACAGGCAGAUAAAAGGAAGAGAAUAUCUAUAGGUACGAGGAAAGGAUAAUGCUUUGAAGAUCUGAAUGAGAUCAGGUGGGAUUUUUCCUGCUCAGGAUCUGUAAUGGGGAAAGGCAGAUUUACUCUCAGCUGGGGUCGUGCCCCACUGAACAACUUGGAGAUGUUUCUUCCCUCUGCUUGAGUGCCAGACCCUCCUUGUGCAUACCAGACUUCCUAUCCAAGCACCAGGAGCAAGGGCCCCUGAGAAGCCACAGCACAACAGCUCCUGGCAGGGCCAACACCAUGGGGCUGAGCAGCAGAGAAACCAGAGCAGAGCUGAACCAGAAAGAUGGCAUCCUGACAGACCUGUUAGCAUGAACAGUGGCUAAAUGCCACCAUUCUGAUAGGAGAGCAUGGUAAACUGCUUACCCACACUGCUGGGCACAACCGCAGUGACAAAGUUCCUAACAGAGUAGGGAAACAUACAUCCACACCCACAAAGUAAAUCCCACAACAUCCACUGCUUGCUUUGAGUUCAUUCUUGUUCUGAUCCCUAAAUAAGCAAAACUGCCAAAUCAUCUCCCCGACCCCCGCUGCUUGUUUUUAGUUCACACUGCUACAGUCCCACUCCGCUCAUUGUGCUUCAUGACAAUCAUUGGUAAAUGCAGUUUCUUUCUCUGUCUGAAGUGUGUGUGCCACUUGCACGUACGAAAGAGCUGUAACACAGCACAACAACCUGGGCAGAGGCGCAUCUUAUGCAUGCUGCACAUCAUAUAUAACGUAAAACGUGGGGGAGCACAGAAUCUCCAGAGCCAGUUCAGCAGGAUCUGUGCACACCCCUCCCUAGACAAGCUUUAUUAAAGGAGGGGAGAGUCCAAAAUGAAUCAGACUGAAAAGGUUUGAUGGAUCUAUUCUGAUUUAAAACCAAAAGUCUUACUGCCGCAAAAGGGAACGAAGGCCGCUGCUCAAACAGAAACCUCGGGAGCUGCACAGUAUGCUGAAAACAAUGGUGCCAUUUCUCUGAGGGUGCUAAACUUGAUUUCCAGAUACAUUAUUAACUACGAUGCCAUCUGUAAAACUGCAGCCUUUGGUCAGCGAGCUCUCUUUUUUCAAUUAUGCUACAGGAAGAAGUUUCUAGGAUGUCAAAAUCUCUCCCUCGAUUCCUUUCCUUGCCAUUUGAUAUGAUUUGAAAGAUACGUGUUUCAUUUGCAUAAAGUACCUCUGCUUCUCAGGAGAUUUGAAUUAGAACCAAAGACUGGUAGACUUGAGCACCACAUGAAAUAUGAAUUCCAUUAUCGUUCCAGUUUUCAUAUGCUAAAAGGGCAUUAUCAGCAUCUUAAAGCUCUUUAAGCCUUGUAGCUCAGAAGUACAAAACAUGUAACAUCAUGUAAUAAUAUUGUAAACAUAUGAGGACUUUGAAUGACUUCAUAGCAUCUGCUUUUCGGUGGGAUUUUAUGGCUUUAUAUUAUUUUGGUGUUCCUACCACUGGAAAAUAAAAAUGUAAAUGGCACUUUAAAAUACGUCAUUAAAAAUAUCCCUUUUCUCCUCCAGCUUCUCAGAGGAUUUAAUCUUUCUGUUGUUUGUUUUUUUUUUUAAAUUAUUUUUUGUAUGUAGAAGAGAGUUCUAAAAAGUAUUAUUAGAUUGAACGCAGAAUGUAUUUCAAUGCAGUACUGUAACGUGAGUUAAUUAAACUAAACAAAGGCCACAUUGCCAACACUUUCAAAGGGAACAAAGAGAUGGUAUUUUUAAAUGAAAUAAAAAUUGACAAUUCAUAAUAAUAUCUCUAUUCUGAUGACGAAGAAAGCAAUCAGAUACACGCAAUAAACCUUAAACACUAUUAUUGUUAAAGCAGUCCCUUUUCUUGUAUCUUUUUCCCUUUCUUUUGCCUUUUUGUCUUAUACUCCACCAUCAAGCCUGAUAACAUAAAAUGACUGUGAUGGCAGGUGAAAUGCUUAAGCUGAGAAUUCCUUACAUUUUCCACUUUCUCUUAGAAAACAAUGCAGAAAAAAAUAUAUCGUUUGUCACUGAAAGAGAUGAAAAAUAAUUAAAACUUAGAAUUGAUCUUGCACCACCUGUUCUUUACAUACACUCAGGCUAGAAUCUGAUAUAUGGAGAGUAAUGAAAAGAAACAGAUUCCUUCUGUGGCAGGAAAAAAAAAAAAAGACUUCUUUCCCCCCAAGGAGAUUGAAAUCAAUAUCUGGAGCAGACUGCUGACAGUAUAAUAACCACCCAUCCUGCUCAUGCACAGCGUUGCUCAGUACAAACCCACACAGCACCCUUAGGGAAGGUUUGCGGGGGCCUGCACCCUCCACGAGCAGGGAAGGAACAUCG
Long non-coding RNA from Lagopus muta (rock ptarmigan), 11773 nucleotides. RefSeq lists it as uncharacterized. Lineage: Eukaryota; Metazoa; Chordata; Aves; Galliformes; Phasianidae. The transcript has 7 exons. The record is from RefSeq and is a predicted model, not a curated record.